RNAcentral lists this ribosomal RNA (492 nucleotides) under uncultured bacterium. Its description in RNAcentral is "bacterial SSU rRNA". It matches the Rfam family "Bacterial small subunit ribosomal RNA", at positions 26 to 518 of the family's 1533-position model. The record is from RNAcentral.
AGGACGAACGCUGGCGGCGUGCCUAACACAUGCAAGUCGAACGAAGCAUUGGAGUGAUCCUCGGGUGACGCACCUUAUGACUUAGUGGCGGACGGGUGAGUAACACGUGAGCAACCUGCCUCUCAGAGUGGAAUAACAGUUGGAAACGGCUGCUAAUACCACAUAACGUUUUUGUGCCGCAUGACACUUCAACCAAAGAUUUAUCGCUGAGAGAUGGGCUCGCGUCCGAUUAGGUAGAUGGUGGGGUAACGGCCUACCAUGCCGACGAUCGGUAGCCGGACUGAGAGGUUGAUCGGCCACAUUGGGACUGAGACACGGCCCAGACUCCUACGGGAGGCAGCAGUGGGGGAUAUUGCACAAUGGGCGCAAGCCUGAUGCAGCAACGCCGCGUGCGGGAAGACGGCCUUCGGGUUGUAAACCGCUGUCCUUGGGGAAGAAACAAAUGACGGUACCCAAGAAGGAAGCCACGGCUAACUACGUGCCAGCCGCUGC